GGGAAGGUGGCUCAGUGGUAGAGUGCUUGCCUUGCAUGCAUGAGGUCCUGGGUUCAAUUCCUCAGCACCCCA
Molecule: transfer RNA, 72 nt
Filed under: Dipodomys ordii (Ord's kangaroo rat)
Lineage: Eukaryota; Metazoa; Chordata; Mammalia; Rodentia; Heteromyidae
Rfam family: tRNA
About the family: Transfer RNA (tRNA) molecules are approximately 80 nucleotides in length. Their secondary structure includes four short double-helical elements and three loops (D, anti-codon, and T loops).
Source: Rfam by way of RNAcentral